AUGCAGCGCCUCGCCUCCUCCCGGAGGCUCCUCCGGGCCGCCCUCGCCCCCGGCCGGGCGCAUUCCAGCCUCUCCGCGGCCGCGGUCGCCGCCGCGCCGGAGAAUGGCGCCGGCGCCCCCAAGAUGCCGCCGUUCGCGUACACGCCGCCGCCCUACGACGGGCCGCGGGUGGCGGAGAUCGCCCAGAAGCGGGCCCAGUUCCUCAGCCCCUCGCUCUUCCACUUCUACGACCGCCCCUUGAACAUAGUCGAUGGAAAGAUGCAGUACCUGUUCGAUGAGGAUGGCCGCCGCUACCUGGACGCUUUCGGUGGCAUUGCGACCGUUUGUUGCGGGCACUGUCAUCCUGAUGUGAUCGAAGCCAUAGUCAACCAGGCAAAGAAGAUACAGCACUCCACAGUUCUGUAUCUGAAUCAUGCAAUUGCCGACUUUGCUGAGGCUCUGGCGGCCAAAAUGCCCGGUGAUCUGAAGGUUGUUUUCUUCACAAAUUCUGGCACGGAGGCAAAUGAGCUUGCACUGAUGAUCGCUCGGCUUUACACUGGUUCCCAUGACAUUAUUUCACUGAGGAAUGGAUACCAUGGGAAUGCAGCUGCAACAAUGGGUGCUACUGCUCAAGCCAACUGGAAAUUUAAUGUUGUCCAGACCGGAGUGCACCAUGCUCUUAAUCCAGACCCAUACAGAGGCGCUUUCGGGUCAGACGGAGAGAAAUAUGCCAGAGAUAUUCAGGAAACCAUUGACUAUGGGACUACAGGAAGAGUUGCAGGUUUCAUUUCAGAAGCCAUACAGGGAGUUGGUGGAAUAGUGGAAUUAGCACCAGGAUACCUGCCUGCGGCCUACGAUAUGGUAAGGAAAGCUGGUGGCCUCUGCAUCGCCGACGAAGUUCAGGCGGGGGUAGCGCGCACUGGGAGCCACUUCUGGGGAUUCGAAGGGCAGGGUGUCAUCCCUGAUAUAGUCACCAUGGCAAAGGGCAUAGGGAACGGAAUACCGAUAGGAGCGGUUGUUACCACACCUGAGAUCGCUAAGGUGUUAACCCGCAGGAGCUACUUCAACACCUUCGGUGGUAACCCUGUCAGCACAGCUGCCGGCCAUGCUGUUCUCAAGGUACUGGAGAAGGAGAAGCUGCAGGAGAAUGCGUUCGUUGUUGGCUCCUACCUGAAGGAGAAGCUUAACGCUCUGAAAGAGAAGCAUGACAUUAUCGGCGAUGUUAGGGGGAAAGGCCUCCUUCUCGGGGUUGAGCUGGUGACCGAUCGCCAGAAGAAAACUCCGGCGAAAGCUGAGAUCGCGCAGGUCAUGAACCACAUGAAAGAUAUGGGCGUGCUGGUGGGGAAGGGCGGUUUCUUCGGCAAUGUGUUCAGGGUGACGCCUCCGUUGUGCUUCUCCAAGGAGGACUCCGACUUCAUGAUCGAGGUGAUGGACAUCGCGCUGUCGAAGCUGUGA
RNAcentral lists this ribosomal RNA (1434 nucleotides) under Triticum aestivum (bread wheat). Its description in RNAcentral is "partial small subunit ribosomal RNA". Lineage: Eukaryota; Viridiplantae; Streptophyta; Magnoliopsida; Poales; Poaceae. The record is from RNAcentral.